Molecule: long non-coding RNA, 1972 nt
Organism: Gasterosteus aculeatus aculeatus (three-spined stickleback)
Lineage: Eukaryota; Metazoa; Chordata; Actinopteri; Perciformes; Gasterosteidae
Source: Ensembl
CAGGUUAGUUUGUCAGUCAGUUAAUUGGUCUACACGUUCACAGAUCUAUAUUUUAUUUAUGAUAAUAUACUGUAUCUAAUUACACAAGGCUAUCUUGGGACCUAGGUGAAAAAACUGCUUUUAAUACUGGCGUUACUUUGUAUAUAUUACAAUACAUUUGGCAAUGCUGCUGGACUUUAAAAGCAGUGUAUAUGGUUUGGCAGGGCUUGUUUUAUUGGCCAUUGGGCUGGUUUUGUCACACAGACCUGGCAACCCUGCUCACGUAGGACCACCAAACGUCGUCGUGUUUUGUAUUAAAUAGCAUCCGUAGGCGCAGACAGUUGAAUUUCACCGACUUCUACAGGAACUGCGUCUGGAUCACUGCCGCUUCCGCGGUACAUGCUGCUAGCCGUUAGGCCGUUUGACAAUACAAUUACCCAUAAAAAGGCACAUAUGUUUGUAUGUAAUUUGUGUCUUUCCUGGACCUGUUGCAAUAUAAGUACGGCUCGUACAGCUCGAGUACCGCUAUUUCCAGGUAAUACUUUCGACAAUACGAUAUGUAAUGUAAUUCCUACAUUUACAGCCUGUAAAUUAGUCAGUGAAAGUGAGAAAUUAAAUAUACUAAACGUUAGAUAUCAAAACACCUAUUUUGUAUUUACACAUUGUUCAUUUGUAACUAACCUUAAAUAUUCGUGAAAUAUUUUCUAUGGAUAUAUCAAUUUCCCGCAGCUGGUAGACAUGAGGUUCUCUCCAAACGGUAACCAGUUCAUGCUCCAUGCUAAUGUUCGCUAAAGUUAAACAUUUCUGGACUCCACGCUCUACUAAUGAGCAGUAUGCCUAUAUACUUGACCAUCAACGAAAACCGGUAACGUUUUAAUUUAGCCUAAUGGUAACUUUUUAUUUUGAUCAUCUUAGCUGCUCAGAUCAAACCGAUUUAAUUAUUUAUUUCAUUACAUUCCAAAAAAUCUGAGAUUGACAUUUCAGCAUGUUGAAUUUUGGGUAACGGACAUCAUCAUUCAGUCUAUUCCGGAUAUGAGCACGUGAAUUUGGGAUUACUUUUCAACCACAUUAAUAUUGUACUUUCCUUCAGAGAAGCACAUCGAUAUGGACUCCAGCCUGUUACCCUACUUGGACGUAGAAAGUCAAAUGUUGCAUGGUGGCUAUAGUGACAAGGACAUACAUAACCACUUGGUUUAAGGAUGUGGCUUGAGUCGAGGAGCGUUCAUCAGGAAUAUUCGAAGAUUUUGCAAAGAUCACUGCGAGUGACGGACGAACAACUGGAAGGCGCGGUCUUAAAAUCAGUAAACGAGACUGUAGCAACACUGGCAUGAAAAAAAUUCUAUUGUCGCCAUAUCCAUUGUGACGCAGAUGGCGAGGGAUUUAAAAUCAACACCAUGUGAGGAUGACAAGAUGCCUGACUGGACACACCUGCAUGUCUGCCAAGAAGCAUUGCUGAGAGCUGUUGUAGUCCUUAUUGUGUGUGUGGGUGUGUGCAGUGUACGGAGUCUCGCCCCCGUUUUCAGCAGAACGCACACAGCUAAGUACAACAUUGUGUUACAGAACAAGAAUUUGGCACGCUUGUUUACAGCGAGUGUGUGCGCAUUCAGUGCACACAGAUUGCUGUGACAUGAUUUCUGUUUUUUUUUACAACCGACAGGACACAAAUUGGGGCGUGAGAUCUCAGGCUCCACCGUGAUUCUAUCCACACACAAAAUGCAUGACACAAACAGCAACGGCAGCAUCGGUGUCUAUUGUGCCGCUGCUUCAUCAUCAUGACUCAAAGGAAAGCUGGCACCAGACCCACUUUCCCCUAAUGUGAGGAACCCAUUUCCAGCAAGACCCAUUUAAAAGGAGUCUGAAGCCACCAGGAGGGAAUGUGACUUUUGGCACUGUUAUUGUUAUGGAUACCUGCUGUUCUCAGAUGCAUAUGUGGCUGGAAGUUGUGGGGAUGAUGGUGACUUCUUCCGUUUUGAUUCUAUAUCACUAUCUGAUA